Molecule: long non-coding RNA, 273 nt
Organism: Oncorhynchus tshawytscha (Chinook salmon)
Lineage: Eukaryota; Metazoa; Chordata; Actinopteri; Salmoniformes; Salmonidae
Source: Ensembl
UGAGAGCUGAGAGAGAGAGAUGGGAGCUGAGAGAGAGAUGGGAGCUGAGAGAGAGAUGGGAGCUGAGAGAGAGAUGGGAGCUGAGAGAGAGAUGGGAGAUGAGAGAGAGAUGGAAGCUGAGAAGGAGAGAUGGGAGCUGAGAAGGAGAGAUGGGAGCUGAGAAGGAGAGAUGGGAGCUGAGAGAGAGAUGGAAGCUGACAGAGAGAUGGGAGCUGAGAGAGAGAGAUGAGAGCUGAGAGAGAGAUGGGAGCUGAGAGAGAGAUGGGAGCUGAG